This 373-nucleotide ribosomal RNA is filed under the name uncultured organism. RNAcentral describes it as "partial 16S ribosomal RNA". It matches the Rfam family "Bacterial small subunit ribosomal RNA", at positions 527 to 896 of the family's 1533-position model. The record is from RNAcentral.
GUAGGAUCCGAGCGUUAUCCGAAUUUACUGGGCGUAAAGCGCGUGUAGGCGGUCGGGUAAGUUGGACGUGAAAGCUCCUGGCUCAACUAGGAGAGGUCGUUCAAAACUGCCUGGCUAGAGGGCGACAGAGGGAGGUGGAAUUCCCGGUGUAGUGGUGAAGUGCGUAGAUAUCGGGAGGAACACCAGUGGCGAAGGCGGCCUCCUGGGUCGCACCUGACGCUCAGACGCGAAAGCUAGGGGAGCGAACGGGAUUAGAUACCCCGGGUAGUCCUAGCUGUAAACGAUGUGGACUUGGCGUUGGUGGGGUUAAAUCCCAUCAGUGCCGUAGCUAACGCGAUUAGUCCACCGCCUGGGGACUACGGUCGCAAGAUUA